RNAcentral lists this ribosomal RNA (468 nucleotides) under uncultured bacterium. Its description in RNAcentral is "partial 16S ribosomal RNA". It matches the Rfam family "Bacterial small subunit ribosomal RNA", at positions 28 to 507 of the family's 1533-position model. The record is from RNAcentral.
GACGAACGCUGGCGGCGUGCUUAACACAUGCGAGUCGAACGGUGAAGCUCCAGCUUGCUGGAGUGGAUCAGUGGCGAACGGGUGAGUAACACGUGAGCAACCUGCCCCUGACUCUGGAAUAAGCGCUGGAAACGGCGUCUAAUACUGGAUACGAGAAGGGUCCGCAUGGGCACUUUCUGGAAAGUUUUUCGGUUGGGGAUGGGCUCGCGGCCUAUCAGCUUGUUGGUGAGGUAAUGGCUCACCAAGGCGACGACGGGUAGCCGGCCUGAGAGGGCGACCGGCCACACUGGGACUGAGACACGGCCCAGACUCCUACGGGAGGCAGCAGUGGGGAAUAUUGCACAAUGGGCGAAAGCCUGAUGCAGCGACGCCGCGUGAGGGAUGACGGCCUUCGGGUUGUAAACCUCUUUCAGCAGGGAAGAAGCGAAAGUGACGGUACCUGCAGAAGAAGCACCGGCUAACUACGUG